Molecule: transfer RNA, 76 nt
Filed under: Burkholderia cepacia
Lineage: Bacteria; Pseudomonadati; Pseudomonadota; Betaproteobacteria; Burkholderiales; Burkholderiaceae
Description: tRNA-Met
Rfam family: tRNA
About the family: Transfer RNA (tRNA) molecules are approximately 80 nucleotides in length. Their secondary structure includes four short double-helical elements and three loops (D, anti-codon, and T loops).
Source: RNAcentral
GGGCCUGUAGCUCAGCGGUUAGAGCAGUCGACUCAUAAUCGAUUGGCCGCUGGUUCAAGUCCAGCCAGGCCCACCA